AUCCAGCUGACGAGUCACAAAUAGGACGAAACGUGCAUCAAACUGGAU
This 48-nucleotide non-coding RNA is filed under the name Schistosoma mansoni. The record is from RNAcentral. Lineage: Eukaryota; Metazoa; Platyhelminthes; Trematoda; Strigeidida; Schistosomatidae.